This 435-nucleotide ribosomal RNA is filed under the name uncultured bacterium. Its description in RNAcentral is "partial 16S ribosomal RNA". It matches the Rfam family "Bacterial small subunit ribosomal RNA", at positions 29 to 507 of the family's 1533-position model. The record is from RNAcentral.
AACGAACGCUGGCGGCAUGCCUAACACAUGCAAGUCGAACGAUUGCCUUCGGGUGAUAGUGGCGCACGGGUGCGUAACGCGUGGGAAUCUGCCCUUAGGUUCGGAAUAACAGCUGGAAACGGCUGCUAAUACCGGAUGAUAUCGCGAGAUCAAAGAUUUAUCGCCUGAGGAUGAGCCCGCGUUGGAUUAGGUAGUUGGUGGGGUAAAGGCCUACCAAGCCGACGAUCCAUAGCUGGUCUGAGAGGAUGAUCAGCCACACUGGGACUGAGACACGGCCCAGACUCCUACGGGAGGCAGCAGUGGGGAAUAUUGGACAAUGGGCGCAAGCCUGAUCCAGCAAUGCCGCGUGAGUGAUGAAGGCCCUAGGGUUGUAAAGCUCUUUUACCCGGGAAGAUAAUGACUGUACCGGGAGAAUAAGCCCCGGCUCACUCCGUG